GACAUGUCUGGCCCCCAGGUAGCCCUUUUCUAUUGGCACCGCUGCUGGCAUUCCCCCAUGCAAGCUUCUAGCUUCCUUAUUUGUUUGUAGCUCAAUUUUUCAGGCUGCUCUUUGUUAGAAGAGAAAUGAUUUUCAUGGCUGCUUUUUGUUAGAAGGGAAGCUCUGCCUGCCUUCUCUUCUUUACCUUCACUAUCUGCCUAAAUAAUUUAUUUCUAUCUCCUGUAUCACUUUCACUAUAAGUGGAUGCAGCCUGAGGCUCUCACCAGAUACACAUCCCAAAUCUUGAACUUUGCAGCCAUCAGAAUUUGAGCCAAAUAAACCUUUUUCCUUUAUAAAUUUCCCAGCCUCAGAUAUAUUCCUUUGUAGCAACACUAAACUAAGACUUAUUGUAUCUGUCAUCUUCCGUAACGAUAUUGCACAUAGACAGAGAGAGUGGGUACCACAUUAUAUGUGCAGGAGCCAAAAUCUCCCUCAUCAGCAUACAUACUUGUCUGACUUGCCAUUCUCUUUGAAAAUUUCACCAUGAACAUUUCUCAUUAUAAGCAAAAGCAUUUAUGUGAAUACUUGGUGGUAAUAGUGUUUAGUUUGUUUGAUUAACCCACCAGAAGUUCAGUGAAUUAUUAAUGUAUAAAUAAGUGUAUCUAUGACUACAUCUACCUGACUACUCACUUUUAUCAAGUAUGCAUUAAAUCUCAUUUUGGUUUCUACUUAGUACCAGGUGCAGAUAAUUGGGAAAUGAAUGAGACAAGAUGCCCUCAAAAGCUCAGUCAAGUGGCAGAGACAGACAUUGUGAAUACAUGAUCUUGGUUCAACAGCAGCUCUCAAGUGCUGUACAGAAUGGAUUGAUGGAAACAGCAAAGGCUUUAUGCAUAUGGACAUCUUGCUUGACCUCCAAGAUCCAGUCUGCUGAUGAGGCGACUACUAUAAGAAUUAUUUGCAAUCUCUGCCCAUCCACAAACUCUCCACCCUGACUACUGCACUUAGAGCACUCUGCAGUAUUUUCCAGAUGUCUGUUAUCUGUCCUGUCACACCUAUGAAGAGAUCUGGGAAAACAGGGAACCCAUAUGAUUUUAACUAAGUAUGAACUACACGCAAGGCAAUAUGCAAUAAGGAAAAUAAAAUAUCCUGAAGGACUGGGAAAUGAUAAGUGACUGACAGUGUUUAAAUUGUGUGGAUGGUAUACCUAUAGCUUAAGUCAAACAAAGUUUGUCC
This 1212-nucleotide long non-coding RNA is filed under the name Macaca mulatta (Rhesus monkey). Its description in RNAcentral is "lncRNA (ENSMMUG00000057957.1)". The record is from RNAcentral. Lineage: Eukaryota; Metazoa; Chordata; Mammalia; Primates; Cercopithecidae.